UACGAAGGUGGCAAGCGUUGUUCGGAUUUACUGGGCGUACAGGGAGCGUAGGCGGCUGGGUAAGCCCUCCGUGAAAUCUCCGGGCCUAACCCGGAAAGUGCGGAGGGGACUGCUCGGCUAGAGGAUGGGAGAGGAGCGCGGAAUUCCCGGUGUAGCGGUGAAAUGCGUAGAGAUCGGGAGGAAGGCCGGUGGCGAAGGCGGCGCUCUGGAACAUUUCUGACGCUGAGGCUCGAAAGCGUGGGGAGCAAACAGG
RNAcentral lists this ribosomal RNA (253 nucleotides) under uncultured bacterium. Its description in RNAcentral is "partial 16S ribosomal RNA". It matches the Rfam family "Bacterial small subunit ribosomal RNA", at positions 524 to 776 of the family's 1533-position model. The record is from RNAcentral.